CCUACGGGAGGCAGCAGUGAGGAAUAUUGGUCAAUGGGCGUAAGCCUGAACCAGCCAAGUCGCGUGAGGGAUGAAGGUUCUAUGGAUUGUAAACCUCUUUUGUAAGGGAACAAAGUGAGGGACGUGUCCCGUUUUGUAUGUACCUUAUGAAUAAGGAUCGGCUAACUCCGUGCCAGCAGCCGCGGUAAUACGGAGGAUCCGAGCGUUAUCCGGAUUUAUUGGGGUUAAAGGGUGCGUAGGCGGACUUGUAAGUCAGCGGUGAAAGGCUGGGGCUCAACCACAGGAUUGCCGUUGAAACUGGGUGGCUGGAGUGUCUGAGAGGCAGGCGGAAUGCGUGGUGUAGCGGUGAAAUGCUUAGAUAUCACGCAGAACCCCGAUUGCGAAGGCAGCAUGCCGGGCGAUGACUGACGCUGAGGCACGAAAGCGUGGGGAUCAAACAGGAUUAGAUACCCUUGUAGUC
This 460-nucleotide ribosomal RNA is filed under the name uncultured bacterium. Its description in RNAcentral is "partial 16S ribosomal RNA". It matches the Rfam family "Bacterial small subunit ribosomal RNA", at positions 338 to 795 of the family's 1533-position model. The record is from RNAcentral.